Molecule: ribosomal RNA, 599 nt
Rfam family: Bacterial small subunit ribosomal RNA
UGGGUGGAUUAGUGGCGAACGGGUGAGUAACACGUGAGUAACCUGCCCUUAACUCUGGGAUAAGCCUGGGAAACUGGGUCUAAUACCGGAUAGGAGCGCCUACCGCAUGGUGGGUGUUGGAAAGAUUUAUCGGUUUUGGAUGGACUCGCGGCCUAUCAGCUUGUUGGUGAGGUAAUGGCUCACCAAGGCGACGACGGGUAGCCGGCCUGAGAGGGUGACCGGCCACACUGGGACUGAGACACGGCCCAGACUCCUACGGGAGGCAGCAGUGGGGAAUAUUGCACAAUGGGCGCAAGCCUGAUGCAGCGACGCCGCGUGAGGGAUGACGGCCUUCGGGUUGUAAACCUCUUUCAGUAGGGAAGAAGCGAAAGUGACGGUACCUGCAGAAGAAGCACCGGCUAACUACGUGCCAGCAGCCGCGGUAAUACGUAGGGUGCGAGCGUUAUCCGGAAUUAUUGGGCGUAAAGAGCUCGUAGGCGGUUUGUCGCGUCUGUCGUGAAAGUCCGGGGCUUAACCCCGGAUCUGCGGUGGGUACGGGCAGACUAGAGUGCAGUAGGGGAGACUGGAAUUCCUGGUGUAGCGGUGGAAUGCGCAGAUAU